This is a long non-coding RNA of Antechinus flavipes (yellow-footed antechinus), 498 nucleotides long. RefSeq lists it as uncharacterized. The transcript is spliced from 2 exons. Lineage: Eukaryota; Metazoa; Chordata; Mammalia; Dasyuromorphia; Dasyuridae. The record is from RefSeq and is a predicted model, not a curated record.
CCUCCCGAUCCUGGGACAGCAGAACCGUCCGCUCCGACGGCCGCUCUCCCCAUUGGCUGGCCAAACGCUGGGAGGGAUUUCCAGGGACGGCCCUGCAUCCAGGGUUGGACUAGCUUUAACCUGGGCGGCGCCCCAAACUGCCCGCGACGGAAGGCAGGAAAAGGGAGGUGGAAAUACUGGCUGUAGGGUCUCGUCUUCUCACAGGAUUGAAAGAGGAGGGAAGAGGACCCCAGGUUUCAGGAUCUGCCUUUCUCAGGUCCAACUUUCUCCUCAGUCCGGCACCGGGGCUGUUUCUUCUGGAUCCUCACCGCAGGCCCCUGGACAGAGGACGGAAUCCUUCAAAAUCUUCAAUUCCCAUGUGAACUCUCCCGGAGACUCAGGGUUAGUCCCCGACCUUGAAGUCUGUCCCUAAACAAAGCCCUGCCCCGCCCCACCCCUCAACCUCACCUAAUUCUAAGGUAAUCUACCCCAAAUAAAUGCCUUCUGGCUGCUCUCGGA